This 503-nucleotide ribosomal RNA is filed under the name Marjoriella ancha. RNAcentral's name for it is "eukaryotic LSU rRNA". It matches the Rfam family "Eukaryotic large subunit ribosomal RNA", at positions 386 to 736 of the family's 3401-position model. Lineage: Eukaryota; Metazoa; Arthropoda; Insecta; Hymenoptera; Braconidae. The record is from RNAcentral.
CCUGAGAAUCCUAAAAGUUCGAAAGGUGAGAUUCAAUGUCAGCUUGUAUCGUAUUCACGUGAGUAGCGAUGCGCGCACGUUUUCAUGUUUUUUUAUUGCUUUACAUUUGCCGGCGUGCACUUCUCAUCUAGUAGGACGUCCCGACCCGUUGGAUCUUUGCCUACGGCUCAGACUUCUAAUACUAUGUAUUGAAGACCUCUGAUAUUGAAGACCUCUGAAGUUCUCCUGGCUAAAGUAUCCGACGGGGUAUUAAGCCGCAUAUUUUUUAUGCGUCUAUGCGUCUGGCCUGUCGCAAGUUUAUAAGCAUACCGUAUCACUAUAGACUUAGUGCUAUGUGUAUGGACUGUGCUCUUAGACUGGCUUAUAUAUACCUGUCAGGGACGCUUAGGCUUUGGGCACUCUCAGGACCCGUCUUGAAACACGGACCAAGGAGUCUAACAUGUACGCGAGUCAUUGGGUAUAUAUUUUCCAAACCUAAAGGCGUAAUGAAAGUAAAGGUUGAA